UAGUUAUCCUUUCACCUUUUAAAGCCGACACCCAGAAUUGAUUUGUGAUUUAUUGAUUCAAAUAUACUAUUUGAAGGGGCGGCUGUUAAAUCCCAAAUUCUCACCUCACCAUCUCCAUACCUGACUCCCCUGUCACUCAAGGCCAAACCACACCCCCAACACCAUAAAAGCCAGCCCUCAGGCCUGCUCUCCCUUUUGCAGCCUGAACAAGAGCAGCACUGAACAAAGGGAAUCUGACUGUGAGUGUGAAACGGACAAAGCCUUAACAAAUGUUGUUGUAUUCUCCUUAUUUGUAUUAUUUCUAAUAUGGUUUAUUCUCAAAUAUUAUUUCUUUAGAUUCCUGUCACCCUGAAACGCAUAUGUAUUGAUUUAAAACCCCGAAGUGGAUGCAUCUAUGAUGUAAGAUUAGUUAACCAAUUUACAAUUCAUUUGACUUUAUCAGUCCCCCCUUUUUUGUAAUAUUUUAUGUUGAUACAUCUUGUUUAUAUUCCUUUUGAUUGUACAGAAAAAAUCAUCCACUGAAGACGAGCAAAAUAAACCGUCAAACUGAAUCCUGGAUCCUGUGUUUUAAUGUGCACUCAAUAUAGGAUGUUCAAUGAGCAAGCAUCAGCAACAUCAUAAUCUUUUACAUACGCA
Molecule: long non-coding RNA, 636 nt
Filed under: Xyrichtys novacula (pearly razorfish)
Lineage: Eukaryota; Metazoa; Chordata; Actinopteri; Labriformes; Labridae
Source: RNAcentral